UUGGCCCCUGCACAAGGAUGAGACACAAAUUUGUGAAGUAUUCCAUAUUUUU
RNAcentral lists this small nuclear RNA (52 nucleotides) under Erinaceus europaeus (western European hedgehog). The record is from RNAcentral. Lineage: Eukaryota; Metazoa; Chordata; Mammalia; Eulipotyphla; Erinaceidae.